This 75-nucleotide transfer RNA is filed under the name marine sediment metagenome. It matches the Rfam family "tRNA". Rfam says of the family: Transfer RNA (tRNA) molecules are approximately 80 nucleotides in length. Their secondary structure includes four short double-helical elements and three loops (D, anti-codon, and T loops). The record is from RNAcentral.
CGAGGUGUGGCGCAGCUUGGCUAGCGCGUCUGCUUUGGGAGCAGAAGGCCGGAGGUUCAAAUCCUCUCACCUCGA